RNAcentral lists this ribosomal RNA (237 nucleotides) under Triticum aestivum (bread wheat). Its description in RNAcentral is "partial small subunit ribosomal RNA". The record is from RNAcentral. Lineage: Eukaryota; Viridiplantae; Streptophyta; Magnoliopsida; Poales; Poaceae.
CUGCAACCCUUCAUCGAUAGGUUCGCAGGCAGACUACCAGGAUGGAAGGGAAAGCUUCUCAACAAGCCUGGCAGGGUGGCACUCGCUCAGUCUGUCCUCACGGCCAUGGCCACCUUCCACAUCACAGCUCUCAACUUGUCGAAGGGGACUCUUAGAAAGAUCGACAAAAUCAUUCGGGCCUUCAUCUGGCAAAAAGAAGACCAAACUCAGACCCUCCGGAGGCCACUCCCUUGUUAA